CCUACGGGUGGCAGCAGUGAGGAAUAUUGGUCAAUGGGCGCGAGCCUGAACCAGCCAAGUAGCGUGAAGGAUGACUGCCCUACGGGUUGUAAACUUCUUUUAUAAGGGAGUAAAGUGAGGCACGUGUGCCUUUUUGUAUGUACAUUAUGAAUAAGGAUCGGCUAACUACGUGCCAGCAGCCGCGGUAAUACGGAGGAUCCGAGCGUUAUCCGGAUUUAUUGGGUUUAAAGGGAGCGUAGAGGGGUUGUUAAGUCAGUUGUGAAAGUUUGCGGCUCAACCGUAGAAUUGCAAUUGAUACUGGCAGUCUAGAGUACAGUAGAGGUAGGCGGAAUUCGUGGUGUAGCGGUGAAAUGCUUAGAUAUCAGGAAGAACUCCGAUUGCGAAGGCAGCUUACUAGACUGUAACUGACGUUGAGGCUCGAAAGUGUGGGGAUCAAACAGGAUUAGAUACCCGAGUAGUC
RNAcentral lists this ribosomal RNA (460 nucleotides) under uncultured bacterium. Its description in RNAcentral is "partial 16S ribosomal RNA". It matches the Rfam family "Bacterial small subunit ribosomal RNA", at positions 338 to 795 of the family's 1533-position model. The record is from RNAcentral.